RNAcentral lists this transfer RNA (87 nucleotides) under Gemmatimonadota bacterium. RNAcentral describes it as "Gemmatimonadetes bacterium tRNA-Leu". It matches the Rfam family "tRNA". From Rfam's summary of the family: Transfer RNA (tRNA) molecules are approximately 80 nucleotides in length. Their secondary structure includes four short double-helical elements and three loops (D, anti-codon, and T loops). The record is from RNAcentral. RNAcentral also lists the same sequence under 1 other name. Lineage: Bacteria; Pseudomonadati; Gemmatimonadota.
GCGGACGUGGUGGAAUUGGCAGACACGCCAGAUUUAGGAUCUGGUGGGGUAAAACCCGUGGGGGUUCGAGUCCCCCCGUCCGCACCA